UAGUACUUUCGCUGAUCCAAUGCCGCCGAAGAAUAAGAAGACCGGACGUUUUAGUUCGGCUUGGAAAAAACGAUGGAAUGACGAUGACAGAUGUGUGGCCCGGCCGAUGGCGAAUGACAGACGGAUAAUUUACUGAGGCGUCCAUCUCUGUAAAAGACCUCUUGUGAGUUUUCCCAUUCAGCUCCUUGUUACAUAACAGCCAGUUGUCUAAAAAAAU
Hippocampus comes (tiger tail seahorse) is the source of this 217-nucleotide long non-coding RNA. RefSeq lists it as uncharacterized. The transcript has 2 exons. The record is from RefSeq and is a predicted model, not a curated record. Lineage: Eukaryota; Metazoa; Chordata; Actinopteri; Syngnathiformes; Syngnathidae.